RNAcentral lists this ribosomal RNA (254 nucleotides) under uncultured bacterium. RNAcentral's name for it is "partial 16S ribosomal RNA". It matches the Rfam family "Bacterial small subunit ribosomal RNA", at positions 524 to 776 of the family's 1533-position model. The record is from RNAcentral.
UACGUAGGGUGCAAGCGUUGUCCGGAAUUAUUGGGCGUAAAGAGCUCGUAGGCGGCUUGUCACGUCGACUGUGAAAACCCGGGGCUCAACCGUGUGGUCUGCAGUCGAUACGGGCAGGCUGGAGUUCGGUAGGGGAGAGUGGAAUUCCUGGUGUAGCGGUGGAAUGCGCAGAUAUCAGGAGGAACACCCGUGGCGAAGGCGGCUCUCUGGUACGUGACUGACGCUGAGACGCGAAAGCGUGGGGAGCGAACAGG